GCUGCCAAUUAAGUCUACAUUCGGUCUGAGUUACAUGGCUUCUGAAUUUUCUUCAACAUAACAAUUAAAAGGGCUUAGAACAUGAACUGAAACAUCUAAGCAACAUUUAGACUNNNNNNAUGAGCAUCUACUCAUAAAUAGUCAGAAUAGUGCUUUUUUUUUUUCCUGAGAGAGGAAGAGGCAUUCUAGCAGCAUUAUCAUAUUAGUUUAUGUGAUGCAUCAAGAAUCAGAAUCAACAAGAAAUUUUUAUUAUGAAAAUCAAUUCACAAAUUCUUUGCA
RNAcentral lists this unclassified non-coding RNA (279 nucleotides) under Hevea brasiliensis (rubber tree). Lineage: Eukaryota; Viridiplantae; Streptophyta; Magnoliopsida; Malpighiales; Euphorbiaceae. The record is from RNAcentral.